RNAcentral lists this ribosomal RNA (253 nucleotides) under uncultured bacterium. Its description in RNAcentral is "partial 16S ribosomal RNA". It matches the Rfam family "Bacterial small subunit ribosomal RNA", at positions 524 to 776 of the family's 1533-position model. The record is from RNAcentral.
UACGAAGGGGGCAAGCGUUGUUCGGAUUUACUGGGCGUACAGGGAGCGUAGGCGGUUGGGUAAGCCCUCCGUGAAAUCUCCGGGCCUAACCCGGAAAGUGCGGAGGGGACUGCUCGGCUAGAGGAUGGGAGAGGAGGGCGGAAGUCCCGGUGUAGCGGUGAAAUGCGUAGAGAUCGGGAGGAAGGCCGGUGGCGAAGGCGGCGCUCUGGAACAUUUCUGACGCUGAGGCUCGAAAGCGUGGGGAGCAAACAGG